Molecule: ribosomal RNA, 396 nt
Filed under: uncultured bacterium
Lineage: Bacteria
Description: partial 16S ribosomal RNA
Rfam family: Bacterial small subunit ribosomal RNA
Source: RNAcentral
AUACGUAGGUGGCAAGCGUUGUCCGGAAUUAUUGGGCGUAAAGCGCAUGUAGGCGGUGCCUUAAGUCUGUCGUGAAACUGCGGGGCCUAACCCCGUAUGGCGAUGGAAACUGUGGCACUUGAGUGCAGGAGAGGAAAGGGGAACUCCCAGUGUAGCGGUGAAAUGGGUAGAUAUUGGGAAGAAAACCGGUGGCGAAGGCGCCUUUCUGGACUGUGUCUGACGCUGAGAUGCGAAAGCCAGGGUAGCGAACGGGAUUAGAUACCCCGGUAGUCCUGGCCGUAAACGAUGGGUACUAGGUGUGGGAGGUAUCGACCCCUUCCGUGCCGCAGUUAACGCAAUAAGUACCCCGCCUGGGGAGUACGGCCACAAGGCUUAAACUCAAAUGAAUUGACGGGG